RNAcentral lists this ribosomal RNA (247 nucleotides) under uncultured bacterium. Its description in RNAcentral is "partial 16S ribosomal RNA". It matches the Rfam family "Bacterial small subunit ribosomal RNA", at positions 791 to 1035 of the family's 1533-position model. The record is from RNAcentral.
UAGUCCACGCCGUAAACGAUGAUGACUAGCUGUCGGGGCGCUUAGCGUUUCGGUGGCGCAGCUAACGCGUUAAGUCAUCCGCCUGGGGAGUACGGCCGCAAGGUUAAAACUCAAAGAAAUUGACGGGGACCCGCACAAGUAGCGGAGCAUGUGGUUUAAUUCGAAGCAACGCGAAGAACCUUACCUAGGCUUGACAUCCUUCUGACCGAGGACUAAUCUCCUCUUUCCCUCCGGGGACAGAAGUGAC